RNAcentral lists this transfer RNA (63 nucleotides) under Curculionoidea sp. 26 KM-2017. Its description in RNAcentral is "tRNA-His". The record is from RNAcentral. Lineage: Eukaryota; Metazoa; Arthropoda; Insecta; Coleoptera.
AUUUAGAUAGUUUAAGUAAAAUAUUGAUUUGUGGGGUCAAAGUUAUUUGUAAAAUUUUAAAUA